ACCAAAACCAAACUGAAACAAAAAUUUAAAACUCAUAAUCUCAUUCCUCUGUUUUAUUUAUGUGUCUAUGUGUUCAGAUGUUUUUAUGUCAUACUUUCUUUAAACACCAGUAUUAUACCUGACAUCAUUAGAAAGCUCCUUAAACUUCUGGUACCAUAGGCUGGUCAGAGUCUAAACAAAUGAAAAAGCUUUACUUCAGCAUUGCCUAGGGUUUGACAUAUGCUGAAAAUAAAUCAUUCUAGUUUGUCUUAGUCAUAUGUAUAUGUAUAGGCACAUAUUCAUAUAUAGCUAUACAUAAACACAUAUAUAUGUGUACCUAUAUAUGCAUGUUUAUAUGUGUCACAAGUGAAAAAUAACUUGUUUGACUUUAUGAGACGUUUUUAAGACUUUAACAUUCCAAAUAAAAUCUUGGGCAACUUUCUGUCUUUAGAAGGUGGGAUUUCGUUUUUUGUCCUAUCCACCACUAGCAGUAAUAGUUUUCAGCCUCUCAUGAAUUAAUUCUCGUUUGCUGACAUUAUUCAUAUAGCAGCCAUGCAAAUGCUUCCAUAGCGGUUGCUGGUUCCUGCCUGGUGAACAGCUAAAUCCUCAUGAGCAAUGGACUAUAAGGGCUAAGUGAAUGUGAUAGAUUUCUGUUUACCUGGCUGUGUCUGGAAGAGGUAAAAGUCACAAAUUUCAGUGACAGGCAGAAUUGAGUUGUCACAUAACAAGUUACUGAUCUCUCUAAAUGUCAUUUUUUAUCAGCUCAACAUAACCCAAGUAAAUCCAGAGAUUCAAAUUGACUGACUCUUGGCACAAUGUGUCAAGAAAUUUGGUCCAGGAACCAACCAUAGAUGUGAUUGCAGUCUUCUGGGAAGUCAGGUGAUUCCCUUCUGCAGCCCUUCUUAAAUGCCCUUUCCCUCUCUGCUUAUUUGUUGUCAUUUCAUCUCUAGAUACCUGGUAGAUCCAUGGUAGAUGCAUGGAAGGUCUCUUCAUGGUAUGUUUCUUGUCCUCUACCAAAUCUCUCCCAGGCAUGGUAUGAUGCUGCUAUUCUUCUUUGUGUCAUCUUCUCUCCUUGUCUUUGUCCUUCAGCUAUUUUAUUCUCUCUCUUUGAUUUCCCCCCCUUCCACUCACACACACUGAUGGCCUCAAUAUGUAUAGUAAGACACAAGGGGAAGGCGUGGGAGAUUUAGGAAUGGGGUUAGUGCUGAGUGGGAAGUGCUAAAGAUUCUCUUAGUGGGUGAGGAGAGGCGAAGAGGCUGUGAAUAUUGAUUUUUGAACAGCUGAGGAUGGGGCUGCUACUUAUAAAAUGAGGAUAUCAUCCUGAUGGGGAUGGUAUUCCUGCUUAGUGAUGUAACCAGAAGUCUGAAAGGUGGACGUAUUCUGUCCUUAAAGCAGAGUAUCUAUCUGGAAUAUCUAUUGUUUUUAGGUUGGGACAAAAGAUGCUGAAAAUCAAGGUAUGGGCCACUCAUUGCAGAUGAUCUUCUCUGCCUCCCCAUCUCCUGCUUGCCCUAGAAGCAGCCUGCUGGGAGACAGAGCAUUAUUGAAGACUGUGGUCUCCCUUGCAACACACCCAAAGCUCUGUAGGUCACAUUGGCUCUGAGUUAAACCUAACCCACAGCUUUGCAUAUGGGACUGCUUUAAAAACAGCUGCCCUCUGUGUUCCAUUAAAAAUAAAAAAGCAAUUUAACAUGGCAAAUUCAUAGUUUCAUAGAUUUCAUCUUGAUGUCAUCUGAACUUUGGAGUUAUAAUUCAGCAGACGUUUUAAUACUCUUGUACAUUUAAAUCAGAUGUCAGUGGGAUACCAGAAGGACCCAGGCUGCAAUAAAACAGCAAAGGUAUAUACAAUAAUGUGUGUUGAGGACCCUUCUAAUUGUUGCCAGGAGUAGUGUUUGUAAUCAUGGCUUCAAAGGCACCUUGGUGGGCUUCUGUGGCUAGAAUCCCAUUCUUCUAGCUCUCUCCUGUGAUCUUUUGCCUGUCAAAGUGUUUGCUUUAAAUCUGCAAUAGUCAAAGAUGCCAGAGACUUAGAAUUUUUGGACUUACCUUGUUCAUGGGAUUUAAUCUGUCAGUGGUUUGUCUGCAAUGGCAGAUUGCAUUUUUUCCCCCAAAGAUGGCGGCAAAAAUAGCUCCCAUGCCAGAUACAAUGUGAACUGGACUGUCCUUUCAUGGAGGUGGGGAAGGUGAUGUCUCUAUCCCAUCCUUUUAAACCUGGGCAGACCUUUGUGAUUAUCUGGACCCACAGAGUAUGACAGAAAGUCACACCAUGUGACUCUUGAGGCAAGACCAUAAAAAUGCCAUGUACUUCUGCCUUGCUAUCUUGGGAUGCUUGUUCCUGGAUCCCAGCCACCAUGCUGUGAGGAAGCCCAAACUAAGCCCACACAGAGAGACCAUGCAGAGAGGCCACGUGUAGGUGUUUCGACUGACAGCCAGUGUCAACCUCUAGACAUGUGAGUGAAGAUGCUUCCAGAUGCUGUAGCCCUCAGCCAUCAAGUCACCUCCAACUGAAGCCCCAGACACUGUGGAGUCAAACUGUCCCUGUUUCUAUCAGACUUCCUGAACCACAGAACCGUGAGCAUAAUGAAAGGGUUGUUUUAUGCCACAAAGUUGAGGUGGCUUAUUUUGGAGCAUUAGUAACCAGAGAGAGAGAAUGAAGAAAGUCCUUCCAAUGAAAUCCGAGCAGGAUGUUUUUCUCCACAUCUGUUUUGGCAAAUAGGAGCGUCAGUGUCUGAAUUGUUUUAGGUAGUCUCACAGGUAUAAAGGAAGUAGCUUUGUUAGUUUACAAAGUGGGUGGGAGUAGAUUAUUGUGAUAUACCCCCACUUCUCUUGUUACCGUUAUUAUAAACAAAUAAACAUCUUGGCUGAGUACAGUGGUGUUUACAAUUGGUUGAUCAUAACCAGUUACCGUUUUCUUUGUUCUUUCUGUACUCUCACUACUUUACUUGCUGAGGCAAAAACAAACAA
Long non-coding RNA from Sapajus apella (tufted capuchin), 2937 nucleotides. RefSeq lists it as uncharacterized. The record is from RefSeq and is a predicted model, not a curated record. NCBI's taxonomy places the organism in Eukaryota, Metazoa, Chordata, Mammalia, Primates, Cebidae. The transcript is spliced from 2 exons.